This 388-nucleotide ribosomal RNA is filed under the name Ctenophora sp. (in: diatoms). Its description in RNAcentral is "Ctenophora sp. (in: Bacillariophyta) partial small subunit ribosomal RNA". It matches the Rfam family "Eukaryotic small subunit ribosomal RNA", at positions 582 to 975 of the family's 1831-position model. Lineage: Eukaryota; Bacillariophyta; Fragilariophyceae; Fragilariales; Fragilariaceae. The record is from RNAcentral.
AUUCCAGCCCCAAUAGCGUAUAUUAAAGUUGUUGCAGUUAAAAAGCUCGUAGUUGAACUUCGGAACCGGUCGAUUGGUCCGUCCUCUGGAUUGUGUACUGAUCGAUCUGUUCUUCUUCGCGAAGACCGCGUGUGCCCUUAACUGGGUGUGCACGGGAUUCACGACGUUUACUUUGAAAAAAUUAGAGUGUUCAAAGCAGGCAUUCGCUUGAAUAUCUCAGCAUGGAAUAAUAGAAUAGGACUUUGGUCUUAUUUUGUUGGUUUCCGAGACCGAAGUAAUGAUUAAUAGGGACAGUUGAGGGCAUUCGUAUUUCAUUGUCAGAGGUGAAAUUCUUGGAUUUAUGAAAGACGAACUUCUGCGAAAGCAUUUGCCAAGGAUGUUUUCAUCA